Long non-coding RNA from Pecten maximus, 659 nucleotides. RefSeq lists it as uncharacterized. The record is from RefSeq and is a predicted model, not a curated record. The transcript has 6 exons. NCBI's taxonomy places the organism in Eukaryota, Metazoa, Mollusca, Bivalvia, Pectinida, Pectinidae.
GUGGUUAUUAUUUUGUAGGUACACCAUUACGUGUAGGUACACCAUUACGUGUAGAGAUUAGAGAAGUGGUUAUUAUUUUGUAGGUACACCAUUACAUGUAGGUACACCAUUAUGUGUAGGUACACCAUUACAUGUAGGUACACCAUUAUGUGUAGAGAUUAGAGAAGUGGUUAUUAUUUUGUAGGUACACCAUUACGUGUAGAGAUUAGAGAAGUGGUUAUUAUUUUGUAGGUACACCAUUACGUGUAGAGAUUAGAGAAGUGGUUAUUAUUUUGUAGGUACACCAUUACGUGUAGAGAUUAGAGAAGUGGUUAUUAUUUUGUAGGUACACCAUUACGUGUAGAGAUUAGAGAAGUGGUUAUUAUUUUGUAGGUACACCAUUACAUGUAGGUACACCAUUACGUGUAGAGAUUAGAGAAGUGGUUAUUAUUUUGUAGGUACACCAUUACGUGUAGGUACACCAUUACGUGUAGAGAUUAGAGAAGUGGUUAUUAUUUUGUAGGUACACCAUUACGUGUAGGUACACCAUUACGUGUAGAGAUUAGAGAAGUGGUUAUUAUUUUGUAGGUACACCAUUACGUGUAGAGAUUAGAGAAGUGGUUAUUAUUUUGUAGGUACACCAUUACGUGUAGAGAUUAGAGAAGUGGUUAUUAUUUUGU